RNAcentral lists this ribosomal RNA (333 nucleotides) under Triticum aestivum (bread wheat). RNAcentral's name for it is "partial small subunit ribosomal RNA". Lineage: Eukaryota; Viridiplantae; Streptophyta; Magnoliopsida; Poales; Poaceae. The record is from RNAcentral.
AUGGCGGAAGCUCUAGCGCUUAGGUUUGGGCUAUCCCUGGCGCAAAGGGCGGGGUGUAAUCGACUUGUCAUCAAUUCUGAUAACUUAGAGGUCAUCGAGACUAUGAAUAAUGGGGGAUGGUCGGCGGGAGUGGCGGCGUUUAAUGAUUGUUAUUUUAUUGCUUGUGAUUUUUCUAUGUCCAAGUUUAAACAUUGUAAUAGAGAGGCAAAUAAAGUAGCUCAUGAACUUGCCAGGUUAGCUAGAUUUUCUGAUACUGUUGAUUGGUUUGAGGAGCCAUUAAAUGAAAUUGUACCCUUCCUCUUAAACGAUGUGUCCAUUAUUUCGAUUGAAUAA